This 74-nucleotide transfer RNA is filed under the name Podarcis lilfordi (Lilford's wall lizard). It matches the Rfam family "tRNA". Rfam says of the family: Transfer RNA (tRNA) molecules are approximately 80 nucleotides in length. Lineage: Eukaryota; Metazoa; Chordata; Lepidosauria; Squamata; Lacertidae. The record is from Rfam by way of RNAcentral.
UUCUCUGUGGUGUAAUGGGUCAGUGUGUCUGGCUGUUAAUCAGAAGGUUGGUGGUUUGAGCCCACCCUGGGAUA